GCGUUGAUGGUGUAGUGGUUGCACAGCCAGAUCGGUGAUUGCCUGGCUUGCCCUGGUUCGAUCCCAGGUCGACGCC
Non-coding RNA from Mycena floridula, 76 nucleotides. Lineage: Eukaryota; Fungi; Basidiomycota; Agaricomycetes; Agaricales; Mycenaceae. The record is from the annotation of a GenBank genome assembly.